Molecule: RNA transcript, 5111 nt
Organism: Ahaetulla prasina
Lineage: Eukaryota; Metazoa; Chordata; Lepidosauria; Squamata; Colubridae
Gene: MX1
Gene name: MX dynamin like GTPase 1
Exons: 15
Source: RefSeq, a predicted model, not a curated record
UGCUCUAUGAAUAAGCAUUCUUUGUUCUUGCCAGACAGACUCCCCAAUUACAAGCUUCCAGGUCUCCUUUCAAAUGUAUGCCAUAACCUUGCUUUGUUCUAGUAGCCAGUCCAUCACAAACUGCUACGGUACUUUAUUACUUUCACACUUCUUAAUAUUUAAUCAUUUGCUGUAUUUACUUUUAGCAGUUUUUAAAACACCGGUACUUUUAAAAAUACUAAACAUGCGGAAAGCAAAGAAUGGGCUCAUUGAUUGCUAAUUCUUUUGAGAGAAAGUGAUUAUCACUGGAGUUGAGGUCUGGAGGGAAAAAAAGAUGGUUUUUAGGUUUCGGGUUUUUUCCUUCUCCGCAAGAUCUCGGAAACUGAUUCACAUCAGCAGUCAGAAACGAAACGAAACUGGCCCUCGAAGGGAGCGAGCGCUGUUUCUCGGGAAACGGAAAGCUCUCGGUAUUGCCGAUUAGUUUCGUUUCCGGAGUAAGUUUCGAUUUCCCUUCAGCGAGAAACUGAACAGGAUGGAGUCAGUGUUGUGUUGCAGAGCCCGUAGUGUUCGCCCGAACUGCGCAGGGAAAGCAUCGUCUUCUCCGACACUCCCGGCUCCGAGCCUGAAAGAACAUUUUUUGCUGCAUAAACAUUACAAAGUCUACCAUGAAGAAAUCCAGAAUUACAGAGUAUUCUCCGAAUAAAAGGUUAAAAAAGGAGACAGAAAAUCAUUUGUGCAGCCAAUAUGAAGAGAAGGUCCGUCCCUGUAUUGACCUCAUUGAUUCAUUGAGAGCCCUUGGAGUGGAAAAGGACUUGGCAUUGCCAGCAAUUGCUGUGAUUGGAGAUCAGAGCUCUGGAAAAAGUUCAGUUCUAGAGGCCUUGUCUGGAGUUGCCCUUCCUAGAGGCAGUGGGAUUGUUACCAGAUGCCCCUUGGAGCUCAAGAUGAAAAAAAAUAAUAAUAAUAAAGAAUGGAAGGGGAAAAUGGUGUAUCUAGAAACAGAGGUGGAACUGAAAGAUCCAUCAGAGGUGGAAGCUGCAGUUAGGAGAGCCCAGAAUGCAAUAGCUGGCGAAGGACUGGGUAUCAGCAACAAAUUAAUUACCCUGGAAAUUAGUUCUCCAGAUGUUCCAGAUCUCACUUUAAUUGAUCUUCCAGGAAUUACAAGAGUUGCAGUAGGUAAUCAACCACAAGACAUUGGCAAUCAGAUCAUGAAAUUAAUUCAAAGUUAUAUUACCAAACAAGAAACCAUAAAUUUGGUUGUGGUUCCAAGUAAUGUUGAUAUUGCUACUACAGAGGCAUUGAAAAUGGCUCAAACAGUAGAUCCCGAAGGAGAGAGAACACUUGGUAUUCUAACCAAGCCUGAUUUGAUCGAUGAAGGAACUGAGAACGAGACCGUUGAUGUUGUCCGGAAUCAAAGAGUGCCUCUGAAAAAAGGAUACAUGAUUGUUAAAUGUCGUGGGCAGAGCGACCUCAUUAAUAAACUGAGCUUGGAGGAUGCAAUCAAGAAAGAGAGAGAAUUUUUUGAAGAGCACAAGUUUUUCAGUCUUCUUUUGGAAGAAGGCAGAGCUACUAUCCCAUUUCUGGCAGAAAAACUUACAAAAGAGCUUACUGAGCACAUUCAGAGAUCACUGCCAACUUUAGAAAAGCAAAUAGAAACCAGCCUCCAGAAAACGCAUCAAAAACUUGAGAAGUAUGGUGAAGGUGUUCCUGAAUCCUCGGAGGACAAGAAAUAUUUUUUUGUGCAAAAAAUCAAGGCUUUUAAUGAAGACCUCUUAAAAAUUUUACAUGGAGAAGAGGAUGAAAAAUAUUUAAACAAAAGUAGAACAAUUACACAUAUUCGAAAGGCAUUUAAUGAAUGGCAAGAUACAAUUAAUGAUAACACUAAAGUAAAUCUUAAAGGAAGUGGGAAUUCUGAAAAUAUAUCCCGUGGCAGAGAACUUCCAGGGUUUGUCAAUUUCAAAACUUUUGAGAACGCUGUAAGAUGGCAAAUUAAACGAUUAGAGUAUCCAGCAAUUGGAGUGUUGAAAGACGUUACAGAACUUGUGCGGAAUGCAUUUAUUGGACUUGCUAUGCAACACUUCAGUAGUUUCUGUUCUCUCUACAGAGUUGCUCAGAAUAAUAUUGAAGAUUUAAAACUCGCACAAGAAGACAGAGCAAAAAAUAUGAUACACACUCAGUUUAAACUUGAAAAUGUGGUUUACUGCCAGGACAGUGUGUAUAGUGAAGAUUUUAGAACAGUAAGAGCGACAAAAAUCUCUCCAGUUCCUUAUUUAGCUGAUUUUUCAGAAAAGUGCUCAGUGGAGGAAAUGCUUUACCACAUCACCGCCUACUAUAAAAGUGUAAAAGUCCGGCUUGGUACUCAGAUUCCUAUGAUCAUACAGUUAUAUGUGUUCAGGGAUUUUGCUGAGAGGUUACAGAAUGCAAUGAUGCAGCUUUUGCAAAGCGGAGAUCAGUUGGAAGCUCUCUUUCAUGAGGGGAAAGAUGUUGUCAACAUAAGGAAUUCUUUAAAGGAAAGAAUUGGACGACUUCAUAAAGCUCGACGACUUUUGAAAAAAUUCUUUAUUUAAAUAGGGUGGCUAAUAUUUCUGUAUAAAAACUUCUGAUAGCAGCUCUGCUUCUGUUAGAUGAGUGUAUUAAGGGUAUUUGUAACUUAUAUUUAACAUUUGUAAAAUUAUUCAGUGAUGCUGCUCAACUUCAAUAGUGCAUUUAACUCUGUCUUCAGCACACUCCCAUCCCAUUGUGUGUAGUCUAUAUAUUGUAUUGUAACCUAAGCUGAAGAAAGGUUAAAAGAGAGAGAGAGAACUAAAUCAUAAACCUAUUUAGGGUUUCUCAUCCUUUUUCAUUAUAUAGCAAACAAAUAUUGAUAAGCUCCUUCAUGCCAAUGGGAGGUGAUAGAGAGGUGGGGUGGGGAAAAGGUAUUGGUUCCAUCAUUCAACUUUGGAACAGCCUCCCACUUCAAAUUCAAAGGACCCCACCUUUUUAGCCUUCAUGAAGGCCAUGAAAAUCUGGCUCUUCCCCAAGCAUUGGGUUAGGAGGAGGUUGAUUAAGGAGGCUGAUAACUGGUUGAUGUAAAAAGGGUUCAUUUCAUUUUAUUCUACUGUAAUGUGGGCCAUCUAGGAUCACUAUGUAAAGCAGAUGGCCAUAUAAAUAGUUUAAAUAAAUAAACCAUUAACCCAAUCAUUUAAAUUAUUCAUUACGUUAGUUAACCACUGUAUCAUUUCACGUUUAUCAAGUCCUGGAAAAUGGAUUAUUUCAGGAACCACUGUGUUUUACUAUUUUAGGACAGAGUAGUAGAAGGGCAGCAGGUAAUGCUGACCUGAGACUGAAGGGAAGUUAGUGUGUCUCUUACCUGAAAGGGCAUUUACUAUCUCUGUGGUACAAUCUGCCACUGCUCAUUCCUAUGUGAUGACUGGUGAAGCAAAACAUGUUACGCAUCCUGGGAGAAAAUGCUAUUUUAACACUGGUAUAGCUAAGAAUGUUUUAACACUGACUCGCUCAUGGUGUUGGGAUUAGUUGAAGCCAAAAUCAUGAGGGAAAGCACACUGCUGAGGCAUGUAUUUAUCCUGGUAGGACCCCAGAGAAAGGCCAUAAAUUUUCAUUUCUUUAUAGUAGAUACUGUAUAUCCACAAUGUUGUUAUCUGUCACAAUGCAUAGUCUGAUUUCUAAAUGAAAAUAUAGUAUAUUGUUACAUUUUCUUAAUCGUCAGGAUCUAAAUUUUUUAGCAUAUAGCCUGGGAAGUAAAUAUGUAGGCUAAAUAUCAACGAAGACCAAUCCAGGCCAAAAGUAUUUUAAAAAGUUAAAUCAGGGCACUAAACCAAAGUAUAACUGAUUUAAUCUUUUAAAAUGUAGGCUAAGGAGAUCAACAGAGUUCAGGUGAAAUAGAAUACUGCAGCUCUACUUGCUUCUCUGAGGAGUCCUAUUGACUUCAGUGGAUCCUAUCAGUACUCGCAUGUAGGAGUUUAAGUUACAUUUGAUUAGCAGAUCAGCAACAAUAUAAUUCUAGUUCUAUUUGCUAGAUUUUAUUAAGUUUCAUUAUAAAAUCAAAAUAUAGAACAAAAAUUAGGGGGGGGGUGAGGUAUGAAGAGAGAAAAGAAAUGACUUCCGACGUCGUUUCUGUGCAAUACUGUAGAUUGCAAAAAAAAUAAAAAAUCUCAAUGGUUUCAGUGCCCUCUUCAGGUUGCUUGUAUCGCAUAAUGUCACCCUAGCUCUAGUACCACUUUACACCUCUGAUUAUUGCAAGAACUUACUAUAUGGAACAACAUUUAAACUUCACUACUGUCUUCAGAUUGAUGAUGAAAAUUCAUACAGAACAAAACAUUAAGCAGAAUUUCAGUGACAAAAAUUACAGAUUGACAUUACAUCUGAGAAAUGCGCUUAGAAACAUAAUAUGAACAUUCCAGAUCAUUCUUUGUAAUUUGAAUUUAGUUAUUCUAACAAGCAUUCCAGUAAGAUCUGCAACAUACUUCCACCAAAGAUCUUACCUGAAAUUAAACAAUUUCUUGCAUGAAAUGUGUUUAUUCCAGUGAAAAAUAAAACCUGUACAUUCAUCUCAUUUAAGGUUACAUUUAGGAGAACAAAAAUAAAAUAUGUUGAAAUUGUAGAGACUUUGUAAUAUGCUUUGCAAUCCUGAAUAGUGUGCAAAUUAGUAUGUGUAGUGCAUAUUGGUGGCUCUCAACCUGUGGUCUAUGGACCCCUGGGGGGCCGUGAUGUCAUCACAGGGGGUCCAAAGGCUUGAAAAAAAAUUAUUUAAAUCUUGGGGGUCCAUGCCACAAAAAGGGGGUCCAUGGUGAAAAGGUGGAGAACCACUGGUGUAUAUAGUUUAUUAUUAACAUAGUAAAAACACAGCCAGAGGUAGUCAAUUUAUACGACAAUAAAGCAGAAUUAAAUAAUUAAUGGUAUAAUGGGAAUGGCUUUGCUUUAUAUGCAUGUGUAAUUGUCAUGUAACUUUAAUUCUUUUUAAUUCUUAAUUCUUUAAUUUUAAUGUAAUUCUUUUUGUUUCCUGUAGUAAAUUAUAUAAAAAUAGUUCUGCCUGAUUUCUGGUGUGCUCAUUAGGUGUGAAACCCAGAGGUUUCUCUCUCUUCUGCUUCAAUACAGAAAUAAAGUUUUGUCUUUCCUCAGUCUUGUAUGGACAUUGA